Molecule: ribosomal RNA, 204 nt
Filed under: uncultured bacterium
Lineage: Bacteria
Description: partial 16S ribosomal RNA
Rfam family: Bacterial small subunit ribosomal RNA (bases 1-180)
Source: RNAcentral
ACGCUGACACCUACGGAGGCAGCAGUGGGGAAUAUUGCACAAUGGGGGAAACCCUGAUGCAGCGACGCCGCGUGGAGGAAGAAGGUCUUCGGAUUGUAAACUCCUGUUGUUGGGGAAAAAGAGGAUGGUACCCAACAAGGAAGUGACGGCUAACUACGUGCCAGCACGCCGGUAGGUAAUCUGAGGCCGGGCGUGGACGAAGGC